This 84-nucleotide transfer RNA is filed under the name Chlorobiota bacterium. Its description in RNAcentral is "tRNA-Leu". It matches the Rfam family "tRNA". Rfam says of the family: Transfer RNA (tRNA) molecules are approximately 80 nucleotides in length. Their secondary structure includes four short double-helical elements and three loops (D, anti-codon, and T loops). Lineage: Bacteria; Pseudomonadati; Chlorobiota. The record is from RNAcentral.
GCCCGGAUGGCGGAAUUGGUAGACGCGCUAGGUUCAGGGUCUAGUGGGAGUACUCCCGUGGGGGUUCGAGUCCCCCUCCGGGCA